GAUGAGCGCUGGCGGCGUGCCUAAUACAUGCAAGUCGAGCGAACAGACGAGGAGCUUGCUCCUCUGACGUUAGCGGCGGACGGGUGAGUAACACGUGGAUAACCUACCUAUAAGACUGGGAUAACUUCGGGAAACCGGAGCUAAUACUGGAUAAUAUAUUGAACCGCAUGGUUCAAUAGUGAAAGACGGUUUUGCUGUCACUUAUAGAUGGAUCCGCGCCGCAUUAGCUAGUUGGUAAGGUAACGGCUUACCAAGGCAACGAUGCGUAGCCGACCUGAGAGGGUGAUCGGCCACACUGGAACUGAGACACGGUCCAGACUCCUACGGGAGGCAGCAGUAGGGAAUCUUCCGCAAUGGGCGAAAGCCUGACGGAGCAACGCCGCGUGAGUGAUGAAGGUCUUCGGAUCGUAAAACUCUGUUAUUAGGGAAGAACAAAUGUGUAAGUAACUAUGCACGUCUUGACGGUACCUAAUCAGAAAGCCACGGCUAACUACGUG
This 497-nucleotide ribosomal RNA is filed under the name uncultured bacterium. Its description in RNAcentral is "partial 16S ribosomal RNA". It matches the Rfam family "Bacterial small subunit ribosomal RNA", at positions 28 to 507 of the family's 1533-position model. The record is from RNAcentral.